RNAcentral lists this ribosomal RNA (520 nucleotides) under uncultured Entrophospora. Its description in RNAcentral is "SSU rRNA". It matches the Rfam family "Eukaryotic small subunit ribosomal RNA", at positions 569 to 1083 of the family's 1831-position model. The record is from RNAcentral. Lineage: Eukaryota; Fungi; Glomeromycota; Glomeromycetes; Entrophosporales; Entrophosporaceae.
AGCAGCCGCGGUAAUUCCAGCUCCAAUAGCGUAUAUUAAAGUUGUUGCAGUUAAAAAGCUCGUAGUUGAAUUUCGGGAUUGGCGCAUCGGUCGUGCCUUACGGGGUAUGAACUGGUGCAGUCAAUUUCUCACCUUCUGGAGAACCGCGAUGUCCUUAAUUGGGUGCCGCGGGGAACCAGGACCUUUACUUUGAAAAAAUUAGAGUGUUUAAAGCAGGCAUUUUUGCUUGAAUACAUUAGCAUGGAAUAAUAAAAUAGGACGGCAUGGUUCUAUUUUGUUGGUUUCUAGGACCGCCGUAAUGAUUAAUAGGGAUAGUUGGGGGCAUUAGUAUUCAAUUGUCAGAGGUGAAAUUCUUGGAUUUAUUGAAGACUAACUACUGCGAAAGCAUUUGCCAAGGAUGUUUUCAUUAAUCAAGAACGAAAGUUAGGGGAUCGAAGACGAUCAGAUACCGUCGUAGCCUUAACCAUAAACUAUGCCGACUAGGAAUCAGACGAUGUUAAUUUUUUAAUGACUCGUUUGG